GGACUGGUAGCUCAGCAGUAGAGCAUUUCGCCUUGUCGAUUUCUUGCCCCCUGGGCCGACUGAUGAGGGUUAUCGGGAAGAAACGGUCGUAGGUGCGAAUCCUGCCCAGUCUC
This 113-nucleotide transfer RNA is filed under the name Gloeobacterales cyanobacterium ES-bin-313. It matches the Rfam family "tRNA". From Rfam's summary of the family: Transfer RNA (tRNA) molecules are approximately 80 nucleotides in length. Their secondary structure includes four short double-helical elements and three loops (D, anti-codon, and T loops). The record is from Rfam by way of RNAcentral. Lineage: Bacteria; Bacillati; Cyanobacteriota; Cyanophyceae; Gloeobacterales.